CCUGAUUACAUACAGCAGAUGUACCGCUCAGGCUUGCGCCUUCUUCCUCCAAAAAACUUUCGCCUCUCCGCAGGGAGCGCUUGCAAAUCGCCGGGGUUCUCUGUCGGGGGACAGUCAACGAAUCUCUCCCCACCACCACCUUUUGGUAGCAAUUGCGAUGCGCCGCCCUAAUUCGCCGCACGAUUUCCCCAUCUGCCGGAAACAUGGGAAAAUAACCUAUUAAUGGAUUUCUGCAGCAACUUUGGCUCUCACUCAGCCUGAAAUACCAAUCAGAAUCUGAUUACAAACAGGUUCCUAAGAGCACAGGGCAGCAGACCCACAGGGUUCCCAGCUAGUGAUGUCAGAGACAUCUGAUGAAAACAAGCAACGGGAGCUGAAAUUCUCAAGACCCUUGGCUUCUUGACUCCCGGUUCUCUGACCCUCCGACUCUUGGCUUCCUGACUCCUGGCUUCUGGACUCCUGUUCCUGCUCCCAUCCCGCCAUCUUGCCCCCGGUCCCGACGUCACCAGCCAGAACUUCAAUCACCCAUGAACCAGACCGUGACAGCGAGAUCUUGCCAGAAACCAUUGCCUCUGCUGGUUUAGACGUCAGCAAUCAAGAGCAUUCUGAGUGAUUGUCCCUAAAUACAGCUUCCUUUCUGAAGAGGUUGGGAGAGAUGCAACUUCAUUAUCUUGCUGGAGGAGAGGUUGCAAGCCCUGCCUUUUCCGUUCUGGAUUUUGAUGAAGAAAUCAGUUUUUGUGUGUGGCUGCUUUCAUCUGUAGUGGCAUGUUGUUGAUGCUGCUUUUUUUGUCCUCCUAAAUGUAUUUUUCUUUUAUUUGACACAAGUUGCUUUGAACUGCUGGAACAGCAGCCUAGGAGAAGUUAACUCAAUAAAUGUACAAAACAGGAACAUACAAACAACAGGAUACAAAUCUGAUGUUUAAUGGAAAUGGAUUCUAUUGAGAGAUGCAGAACUGCUCGGGUUGGUCUUGUUGGUUGGCAGCCGUCUGUCUCAGGAGACAAUGACAGAAUGCACCUUUGGGGGUGAAAUCAAACCAUUGGAGAGUUACAUACCAAUAUGGGAGAGACAUAUUUUGUUGCAGCUGGGGCAGAUGAAGGUGUUUGGUUGUGUUGAUCCAGGUGUACUAUGGCGUUUCUUCUUUCUUUGCUCCUCCCAGUUGCCCUUCCUCCUCCAGGGUACUGCCCAUUCUCAUUAUGGUGGUGGUAUCUCAGUUUCUGUCCAUUAGGCAAGAAUGAGAUUCAAAAUGGAGUAAGGGGAAGCCAGCAGAGGGUGGCUGGGUGGCAGAGGGCUAAUCCACACUUACCUUUAUCCUGCCCUUUCCAGGCACUGCCUGAGACUGAAAGCUCCAUGUCUGAGUAUCUUUGUUUGUUUUCGUUUUUGCUCCUGAGCUUUCCCAGUGAAAACCUGCUCUUUAAAGCUCAAUCGGAACCAACGUCAAUCUGCUGGAAAUCCGAAUUGAUGGAAGUCACCUUCUGACACCACCUCCAGCUUUGAAGGAGCUGCUUUUUCAUCACUGUAUUUUCAGAAGUCAUUUUGGGCACCAGAAAAAAACACCCCAUGUGGUGCACAGAUGAGUUUAAACAAAUAACUGUGCAAUUAAAUGGAAAGGGCUGAUCACACAGGUCUUUCGCGUAGGUAAUUCUACAGAGAACCCCCUCCCUGACAUGUCCAUGUGCUGCAUCAUUCACACAGCUGGACAUCUGCAGGUGCAUGAUGGACAAAUGGAUCCUUCGUGGAUGAGGACAGCAUCUGAAAGGCUUUGCAAACAAGCCACACACUGGGCAUAGGAAAAACAGCAGGCAUUUGAAAGCUGAAAAAGAGAAGCAGCAGCAAAUAUGCGAAGUGGUUUCCAUGGUACAUAAUGUACUGUGGAUGGGCUAAUUGCUCACUUUCACCCAGGAAUUGCUGUCUGGGCAAUUUAUAAUUUUCUGGCUAGUUUUAAAAUGGCAAUAGCUCUCAUGUUAAGACUCCACAUGCGGCAUGCCUCCUGCUUUUAAUGGAGAUGUUCUGCAUAGUCUACCUUUUGUGGAGUGCCAGCCUUGCUAGGGACUAGAGUUGAUAAGGACCUGAGGCUUUUGGGAUCCAAUUUAGGUACACCAGCCUUCCCUGUUUUGCGUUAGACACAGGCAGCUCAUAGGUACCACCUCUUUAAUCCUCUACCUCAGGCAGGAGAUAUAGAAGAUAUAGAAGUAUCAGCCAUACCAACAGGCUAAA
Molecule: long non-coding RNA, 2215 nt
Organism: Podarcis muralis (Common wall lizard)
Lineage: Eukaryota; Metazoa; Chordata; Lepidosauria; Squamata; Lacertidae
Source: RefSeq, a predicted model, not a curated record